AACGAACGCUGGCGGCAUGCCUAACACAUGCAAGUCGAACGAGACCUUCGGGUCUAGUGGCGCACGGGUGCGUAACGCGUGGGAACCUGCCCUUAGGUUCGGAAUAACUCCCCGAAAGGGGUGCUAAUACCGGAUAAUGUCUUCGGACCAAAGAUUUAUCGCCUUUGGAUGGGCCCGCGUUGGAUUAGCUAGUUGGUAGGGUAAAAGCCUACAAGGCGACGAUCCAUAGCUGGUCUGAGAGGAUGAUCAGCCACACUGGGACUGAGACACGGCCCAGACUCCUACGGGAGGCAGCAGUGGGGAAUAUUGGACAAUGGGCGAAAGCCUGAUCCAGCAAUGCCGCGUGAGUGAUGAAGGCCUUAGGGUUGUAAAGCUCUUUUACCCGGGAUGAUAAUGACAGUACCGGGAGAAUAAGCUCCGGCUAACUCCGUG
RNAcentral lists this ribosomal RNA (432 nucleotides) under uncultured bacterium. RNAcentral describes it as "partial 16S ribosomal RNA". It matches the Rfam family "Bacterial small subunit ribosomal RNA", at positions 29 to 507 of the family's 1533-position model. The record is from RNAcentral.